This 460-nucleotide ribosomal RNA is filed under the name uncultured bacterium. Its description in RNAcentral is "partial 16S ribosomal RNA". It matches the Rfam family "Bacterial small subunit ribosomal RNA", at positions 338 to 795 of the family's 1533-position model. The record is from RNAcentral.
CCUACGGGUGGCAGCAGUGAGGAAUAUUGGUCAAUGGACGAGAGUCUGAACCAGCCAAGUAGCGUGAAGGAUGACUGCCCUAUGGGUUGUAAACUUCUUUUAUAUGGGAAUAAAUUGUUCCACGGGUGGGAUUUUGUAUGUACCAUAUGAAUAAGGAUCGGCUAACUCCGUGCCAGCAGCCGCGGUAAUACGGAGGAUCCGAGCGUUAUACGGAUUUAUUGGGUUUAAAGGGAGCGUAGGUGGGUUGGUAAGUCAGUUGGGAAAGUUUGCGGCUCAACCGUAAAAUUGCAGUUGAAACUGGCAGUCUAGAGUACAGUAGAGGUGGGCGGAAUUCGAGGUGUAGCGGUGAAAUGCUUAGAUAUCACGAAGAACUCCGAUUGCGAAGGCAGUUCACUGGACUGAAACUGACGCUGAGGCUCGAAAGUGUGGGUAUCAAACAGGAUUAGAUACCCGAGUAGUC